Molecule: ribosomal RNA, 490 nt
Filed under: uncultured bacterium
Lineage: Bacteria
Description: partial 16S ribosomal RNA
Rfam family: Bacterial small subunit ribosomal RNA
Source: RNAcentral
AUUGAACGCUGGCGGCAGGCCUAACAUAUGCAAGUCGAACGGUAACAGGAAGCAGCUUGCUGCUUCGCUGACGAGUGGCGGACGGGUGAGUAAUGUCUGGGAAACUGCCUGAUGGAGGGGGAUAACUACUGGAAACGGUAGCUAAUACCGCAUAACGUCGCAAGACCAAAGAGGGGGACCUUAGGGCCUCUUGCCAUCGGAUGUGCCCAGAUGGGAUUAGCUAGUAGGUGGGGUAACGGCUCACCUAGGCGACGAUCCCUAGCUGGUCUGAGAGGAUGACCAGCCACACUGGAACUGAGACACGGUCCAGACUCCUACGGGAGGCAGCAGUGGGGAAUAUUGCACAAUGGGCGCAAGCCUGAUGCAGCCAUGCCGCGUGUAUGAAGAAGGCCUUCGGGUUGUAAAGUACUUUCAGCGGGGAGGAAGGGAGUAAAGUUAAUACCUUUGCUCAUUGACGUUACCCGCAGAAGAAGCACCGGCUAACUCCGUG